CAGUCGCCGCGGUAAUACGGAGGGGGCUAGCGUUGUUCGGAAUUACUGGGCGUAAAGCGCACGUAGGCGGCUUGGUAAGUUAGAGGUGAAAGCCCGGAGCUCAACUCCGGAAUUGCCUUUAAGACUGCCGAGCUAGUAGGUGAGAGAGGUAAGUGGAAUUCCGAGUGUAGAGGUGAAAUUCGUAGAUAUUCGGAAGAACACCAGUGGCGAAGGCGGCUUACUGGCUCAUUCUAGACGCUGAGAUGCGAAAGCGUGGGGAGCAAACAGGAUUAGAUACCCCCGUAGUCCCUGUCUCUUAUAA
This 301-nucleotide ribosomal RNA is filed under the name uncultured bacterium. RNAcentral's name for it is "partial 16S ribosomal RNA". It matches the Rfam family "Bacterial small subunit ribosomal RNA", at positions 509 to 809 of the family's 1533-position model. The record is from RNAcentral.